UAGUGAGUCGUAUUCUGGCCUGAUUGAACGCUGCGAUGCUGGUAAGAAAAGCCGAACGGCAGCACGACCGGUCUGGUGGCGAGUGGCGAACGGUGAGUAAUGUAUCGGAACGUGCCUAGCGGGGAUAACUACGCGAAAGCGGUUAAUACCGCAUACGCCCUUCGGGGGGAAAGCGGGGAUCCUUCGGGCCUCGCACCAGAGCGGCCGAUAUCGACCACAACAGGGUAACGGCUCACUAAGGCGACGAUCUGUAGCUGGUUGAGGAGGACGAACCAGCCGCACUGGGACUGAGACGGCCCAGAUUCCUACGGGAGGCAGUGGGGAAUUUUUGGACAAUGGGGGAAACCUGAUCCAGCCAUCCCGGCGGGGUGAUGGCAUUUUAUUGUAAAGCACCUUGGCAGGAAGAAACGGCACGGGAUAAUACCCUGCAACUGACGGUACCUUCCAGAAUAAGCACCGGUUAACUACGUGCCAGCAGCCGCGGUAAUACGGGUAGGCGUAAGCGUUAAUCGGAAUUACUGGGCGUAAAGCGCAGGCGGUCUUUCCAGAAACGUACAGUGAUGUGAAAUCCCAGAGCUUAACUUUGAACUGCAUUUUUAACUACCGAGCUGAGUGCGUCAGGAGGGAGGCGGAAUUCCGGCGUGUGCAGCAAACGCGGAUGUGCCAGGGAACACUGAUGGCGGAAGGCAGCCUCCUGGGAUAACACGACGCUCAUGCACGAAAGCAAAGGGGGAGCAAACAGGAUUAGAUACCCGGUGUCCACGCCCUAACAAACGAUGUCAAUCAGCUGUUGGGGCCUUCGGGCCUUGUACAGUUAACGCGUGAAGUUGACCGGGCCUGGGGAGUACGUCGCAAGAUUAAAACUAAAGGAAUUGACGGGGACUCCGCACAAGCGGUGGAUGAUGGAUUACCUUGAUGCAACGCGAAAACCCUACUCUACCCUUGAUGAUGUCUGAAUCCGAAGAGAUCUGGGAGUGCUCGCAAGAGGAACUGGAACACAGGUGCUGGCCGGUUGCCGUCAGCUCGUGUCGUGAGAUGUUGGGUUAAGUCCCGCAACGAGCAACCCUUGUCAUUAGUUGCUACGAAAGGGCACUAUCGAGACUGCCGGUGACAAACCGAGGAAGCGGUGGGAUGACGUCAGUUCAUGGCCUUUAUGGGUAGGGUCACACGUCAUACAAUGGUCGGGACAGAGGUCGCCAACCCGCGAGGGGAGCCAAUCCCAGAAACCCGAUCAUGUAGUCUGAUCGCAGUCUGCAACUCGACUGCGUGAGUUUCGGAAUCGCCAGUAAUCGCGGAUCAGCAUGUUGCAUAUCGAUGUUCCUCAAGUCUGUACACACCGUCCGUCACACCAUGGGAGUGGGUUUUACCAGAAGUAGUUAGCUUCAACUGUAAGGAGGGCGAUUACCACGGUAGGAUCUGCUGAUCAAAUGCGUCAUGUAG
RNAcentral lists this ribosomal RNA (1440 nucleotides) under uncultured Bordetella sp. RNAcentral's name for it is "partial 16S-23S ribosomal RNA intergenic spacer". It matches the Rfam family "Bacterial small subunit ribosomal RNA". Lineage: Bacteria; Pseudomonadati; Pseudomonadota; Betaproteobacteria; Burkholderiales; Alcaligenaceae. The record is from RNAcentral.